RNAcentral lists this unclassified non-coding RNA (21 nucleotides) under Mus musculus (house mouse). Its description in RNAcentral is "oocyte_clustered_small_RNA5918". The record is from RNAcentral. Lineage: Eukaryota; Metazoa; Chordata; Mammalia; Rodentia; Muridae.
UAAGCUCUACACAACAUCCCA